GGCAGUUGAGGGAGGUUAAGGGCCCAGAAUUGACACACCCCCGGCUACCAGGCAGAGGAGAGAAUCCUCAAGAAGGUCAGGAGGAAAAUCCGUAACAAGCAGUCAGCUCAGGACAGUCGGCGACGGAAGAAAGAAUACAUCGAUGGGCUGGAGAACAGGUACUUUGGGAUCACAUUUCUGAAGGAGGCUAUGUCUGGUUCCCUUCCUCACCAAGGUAGGCAAGGUGAAGGACUCAGAUUGCUGAGCCUUGUCCUGCUUCUCCCCACUCCCUAGGGUGGCAGCCUGUUCUGCACAGAACCAGGAGCUACAGAAGAAAGUCCAGGAGCUGGAGAGACACAACCUGUGAGUGAAAACACCAUGUGUGUGCUGGGGGUGGGGAAGUGCUGAGCACCAUUCUUGGGCCAUGGUUCCCAGAUGAUGGUAGCUCCUUAUUCCUCCUUUCCCAGCUCCUUGGUGGCUCAGCUCCGUCAGCUCCAGACGCUCAUUGCUCAAACCUCAAACAAAGCUGCCCAGACAAGCACUUGCGUUCUGGUACCAUCAGUCUGUCUCCCUCCCAUCUCCCCCAGCCUCCAUCAUCUGUCUCCCCCCACACUUCCAUCCUGAUACCCCCCAUUCCCUAGCUACAUCAGUCUUCCCAACCCAGAAAACCCCAGCUGCCCUCUGCUCCCUUCCUUGACUGUCCCCACAGCCCAAGUGUCUUGCUUUCUUCCAGAUCCUUCUUUUUUCUUUGGUUCUCAUCAUCCUGCCCAGCUUCAGUCCCUUUCAGGGUCUACCAGAAGCGGGGCCUGAGGACUACCAGCCUCGUGGAGGUGAGAAGCUCCCUGGUGAGCAAGGGGGUUUUGCGCACAGUAGUCAAGAAGUGGGAGAGAAGUCCUGCCUGUUCUGUCUAGGGUGCUCCACCCAAGAGAAACAUUCUACUCUUUGCUUUUUCCUUCACCUCACAGUGAUUUCCAGAAAUAUCUUGACCCAUGUGGAUAUGACAGAAAGUCGAGAGACUCCAGUGGAAGAGUCCACAAUGGGAGAGUCACUUAGAGCCCAGAUUGCAAACACGUCGACCAGAACACUGAUAGAGAAGAGGGUUGUGGAGACUGGGUCUGGUGGGCAUGUCAGAACCGUGCUGCAUGCAGAUGAGAUGUGAGCUGGAAGGUUCCUGGCCCACUCCCCUUUACCAUAAGGAACCCAGGGUUCCCCUAUAGCUCUGCUUCCCCCUGGUCUUCCCACUCAGGUGUCUUUGCUCUUGGGGGUCUGAAUCACCUCAGGACAACAUAGGAGAUAUCUGUAUCCUGAGGCCCAGUUAGCCUGUGUAAAAAGAGUACCUCAAAUACUUUUGUUAUGUAUCUGUGAUUUUAUUUCUUCUUUGGGGAUAGGGUUGAGGG
This 1376-nucleotide long non-coding RNA is filed under the name Marmota monax (woodchuck). The record is from RNAcentral. Lineage: Eukaryota; Metazoa; Chordata; Mammalia; Rodentia; Sciuridae.